This 497-nucleotide ribosomal RNA is filed under the name uncultured bacterium. Its description in RNAcentral is "partial 16S ribosomal RNA". It matches the Rfam family "Bacterial small subunit ribosomal RNA", at positions 28 to 507 of the family's 1533-position model. The record is from RNAcentral.
GAUGAACGCUGGCGGCGUGCCUAAUACAUGCAAGUCGAGCGAACAGACGAGGAGCUUGCUCCUCUGACGUUAGCGGCGGACGGGUGAGUAACACGUGGAUAACCUACCUAUAAGACUGGGAUAACUUCGGGAAACCGGAGCUAAUACCGGAUAAUAUAUUGAACCGCAUGGUUCAAUAGUGAAAGACGGUUUUGCUGUCACUUAUAGAUGGAUCCGCGUCGGAUUAGCUAGUUGGUAAGGUAACGGCUCACCAAGGCAACGAUGCGUAGCCGACCUGAGAGGGUGAUCAGCCACACUGGAACUGAGACACGGUCCAGACUCCUACGGGAGGCAGCAGUAGGGAAUCUUGCGUAAUGGGCGCAAGCCUGACCGAGCCACGCCGCGUGGGUGAUGAAGGUCUUCGGGUCGUAAAGCUCUGUUAUUAGGGAAGAACAAAUGUGUAAGUAACUAUGCACGUCUUGACGGUACCUAAUCAGAAAGCCCCGGCUAACUACGUG